GGGCCCAUAGGCUCAAUGGUUAGAGCCGACCGCUCAUAACGGUCUGGUUCCAGGUUCGAGUCCUGGUGGGCCCACCA
Molecule: transfer RNA, 77 nt
Filed under: Devosia algicola
Lineage: Bacteria; Pseudomonadati; Pseudomonadota; Alphaproteobacteria; Hyphomicrobiales; Devosiaceae
Description: Devosia sp. G20-9 tRNA-Ile
Rfam family: tRNA
About the family: Transfer RNA (tRNA) molecules are approximately 80 nucleotides in length. Their secondary structure includes four short double-helical elements and three loops (D, anti-codon, and T loops).
Source: RNAcentral